CCUACGGGAGGCAGCAGUGAGGAAUAUUGGUCAAUGGCCGUAAGGCUGAACCAGCCAAGUCGCGUGAAGGAAGAAGGAUCUAUGGUUUGUAAACUUCUUUUAUAGGGGAAUAAAGGGAGCCACGUGUGGAUAUUUGCAUGUACCCUAUGAAUAAGGAUGGGCUAACUCCGUGCCAGCAGCCGCGGUAAUACGGAGGAUGCGAGCGUUAUCCGGAUUUAUUGGGUUUAAAGGGUGCGUAGGUUGUUUUUUAAGACAGCGGUGAAAGUUUGUGGCUCAACCCUAAAAUUGCCGUUGAAACUGGCAGACUUGAGUGUGUUUGAGGUAGGCGGAAUGCGUGGUGUAGCGGUGAAAUGCAUAGAUAUCACGCAGAACUCCGAUUGCGAAGGCAGCUUACUAAGCCAUAUCUGACACUGACGCACGAAAGCGUGGGUAUCAAACAGGAUUAGAUACCCUUGUAGUC
RNAcentral lists this ribosomal RNA (460 nucleotides) under uncultured bacterium. RNAcentral's name for it is "partial 16S ribosomal RNA". It matches the Rfam family "Bacterial small subunit ribosomal RNA", at positions 338 to 795 of the family's 1533-position model. The record is from RNAcentral.